GGGCGCGGACGGUCACACUCACAGGUCGGCAUGUUGGUGAACCUUUCUUGUUUAGCUUGCACGUUAUUCAUGUCAACGAGAGCUGCAAACAACUUCUCUAAUUGGUAGAAUGUGGACGGACAUUGCAUUCAUUCCCAUUCAGCCGUUGGACUGAACUGGUACUGUAACACAGUAUGGAUGGUCAAUAUGAAGCAAGCUUCAUCGAAUUCCUCCAAGAGCUCUGACUCUGUUCUGAUCAUUUUGAAGAUGCUUGCUUUGACAGGACUGGGCAAACGAUUCGUCUAAGACAGGAUGCUGUCCCAACCACAUUUAAUUUGCCGCCUCGUCAUCAGAAGAAUGCACACAAACCAGGGAAACCCUCGAAAGAAAGUCAUUUAGAUUCAGCAAGCAACCUCCCAGAUACUGCAAAGACACCUGUACCAAAGUCUUCAGCACCUUCCCUGGGACUACUACUCAAUGCCAAAAAUCUAAGAGGGGUAAAGUGGAAGAUAACAGCAACAUAUAUCUAAAUGGGAUGGAGACCAGCAGCAUGGCAGCAGGAGCUAAUGUUGGUCGUGAUGAGGCAUAUACCACCAUCAACAAUGCUGCAAUUGCAGUCACCACCACCAAGUCUGCUUCUGUCACUGCCAUCACCAUUGCCACCGCCAUUACCAAGACCACUCCUGACACAAAGCCCCCAAGUCCUCAACUGACCAGAUAUUGCAGCUGGAGAAGGAUAUACCAGGAACUUCAAAGCCAGGGCUUGCCAGUCUCCUACAAUAAGAAAAAUGCCAUGGGCCCAUCUAAUGAACUAGUAGUAGAAUAUUUGGCCACAGUUGUAGAAAUGCAGAGACUAACAUACUGCCACAGGUGAGGUUUUGUCCACAGUUCCAGAAGGACA
This 880-nucleotide long non-coding RNA is filed under the name Lytechinus variegatus (green sea urchin). RNAcentral describes it as "uncharacterized LOC121420093, transcript variant X2". Lineage: Eukaryota; Metazoa; Echinodermata; Echinoidea; Temnopleuroida; Toxopneustidae. The record is from RNAcentral.